CCUACGGUGCGCAGCAGUAAGGAAUAUUGGUCAAUGGGCGGAAGCCUGAACCAGCCAUGCCGCGUGCAGGAAGACGGCCUACGGGUUGUAAACUGCUUUUGUACGGGAAUAUGUACUGUAAGAAUAAGGAUCGGCUAACUCCGUGCCAGCAGCCGCGGUAAUACGGAGGAUCCGAGCGUUAUCCGGAUUUAUUGGGUUUAAAGGGUGCGUAGGCGGCCUGUUAAGUCAGGGGUGAAAGACGGUAGCUCAACUAUCGCAGUGCCUUUGAUACUGAUGGGCUUGAAUGUACUUGAGGUAGGCGGAAUGUGACAAGUAGCGGUGAAAUGCAUAGAUAUGUCACAGAACACCAAUUGCGAAGGCAGCUUACUAAGUUGAUUGACGCUGAGGCACGAAAGCGUGGGGAUCAAACAGGAUUAGAUACCCUAGUAGUC
This 431-nucleotide ribosomal RNA is filed under the name uncultured bacterium. RNAcentral describes it as "partial 16S ribosomal RNA". It matches the Rfam family "Bacterial small subunit ribosomal RNA", at positions 338 to 795 of the family's 1533-position model. The record is from RNAcentral.